UACGAGGGGGGCAAAUGUUGUUCGGAAUCACUGGGCGUAAAGGGCGCGUAGGCGGGCUUCUAAGUUAGGUGUUUAAUCCCGGGGCCCAACCCCGGACAGGCACCUAAAACUGGGAGUCUUGAAUAGUGGAGAGGUCGGCGGAAUUGGGGGUGUAGCGGUGGAAUGCGUAGAGAUCCCCAAGAACACCAGUUGCGAAGGCGGCCGACUGGACACAUAUUGACGCUGAGGCUCGAAAGCAUGGGGAGCAAACAGG
This 253-nucleotide ribosomal RNA is filed under the name uncultured bacterium. RNAcentral's name for it is "partial 16S ribosomal RNA". It matches the Rfam family "Bacterial small subunit ribosomal RNA", at positions 524 to 776 of the family's 1533-position model. The record is from RNAcentral.